CUUCUGUCCUCUCCGCACAAGAGGGCAGAUCGAGGCCCGGCGCUCUCUGCCCUGACAGCGACGGGUCUUGCGGCUCCGGGCUGCGGUGCCGGGCGGGUUGAGGGUCCCGCUCCGGCGC
RNAcentral lists this non-coding RNA (118 nucleotides) under Streptomyces albus. RNAcentral's name for it is "Streptomyces sRNA scr5239". It matches the Rfam family "Streptomyces sRNA scr5239". From Rfam's summary of the family: It inhibits agarase DagA expression by direct base pairing to the dagA coding region, and it represses translation of methionine synthase metE (SCO0985) at the 5' end of its open reading frame. Lineage: Bacteria; Bacillati; Actinomycetota; Actinomycetes; Kitasatosporales; Streptomycetaceae. The record is from RNAcentral.